This 397-nucleotide ribosomal RNA is filed under the name uncultured bacterium. Its description in RNAcentral is "bacterial SSU rRNA". It matches the Rfam family "Bacterial small subunit ribosomal RNA", at positions 975 to 1375 of the family's 1533-position model. The record is from RNAcentral.
CAGGUCUUGACAUCCAACUAACGAGAUAGAGAUAUGUUAGGUGCCCUUCGGGGAAAGUUGAGACAGGUGGUGCAUGGUUGUCGUCAGCUCGUGUCGUGAGAUGUUGGGUUAAGUCCCGCAACGAGCGCAACCCCUGCCAUUAGUUGCUACGCAAGAGCACUCUAACGGGACCGCUACCGACAAGGUGGAGGAAGGUGGGGACGACGUCAAAUCAUCAUGCCCCUUAUGACCUGGGCUACACACGUAAUACAAUGGCCGUUAACAGAGGGAAGCAAUACAGCGAUGUGGAGCAAAACCCUAAAAACGGUCUCAGUUCGGAUUGUAGGCUGCAACCCGCCUACAUGAAGUUGGAAUUGCUAGUAAUCGCGGAUCAGCAUGCCGCGGUGAAUACGUUCCC